RNAcentral lists this ribosomal RNA (480 nucleotides) under uncultured bacterium. Its description in RNAcentral is "partial 16S ribosomal RNA". It matches the Rfam family "Bacterial small subunit ribosomal RNA", at positions 28 to 507 of the family's 1533-position model. The record is from RNAcentral.
GAUGAACGCUGGCGGCGUGCUUAACACAUGCAAGUCGAACGAAGCACUUUAUUUGAUUUCCUUCGGGACUGAUUAUUUUGUGACUGAGUGGCGGACGGGUGAGUAACGCGUGGGUAACCUGCCUUGUACAGGGGGUAACAGUUGGAAACGGCUGCUAAUACCGCCUAAGCGCACGGCAUCGCAUGAUGCCGGGUGAAAAACUCCGGUGGUAUAAGAUGGACCCGCGUUGGAUUAGCUAGUUGGUGAGGUAACGGCCCACCAAGGCGACGAUCCAUAGCCGACCUGAGAGGGUGACCGGCCACAUUGGGACUGAGACACGGCCCAAACUCCUACGGGAGGCAGCAGUGGGGAAUAUUGCACAAUGGGCGAAAGCCUGAUGCAGCGACGCCGCGUGAGCGAAGAAGUAUUUCGGUAUGUAAAGCUCUAUCAGCAGGGAAGAUAAUGACGGUACCUGACUAAGAAGCACCGGCUAAAUACGUG